CAAUGAUGUGUUCAAUGUUCAUUUAUUAUCUUGAAAAAAUAUUUAUUUUCUUUAAAGAGGAUGAGUAGUGACUGCAUGAGUUAUUUUCAGAACAGUUACCCAGUGUUUUUUUUUAAUUCCCUCAUGACGCUCUUCCUAAUUAAUAUCCGUAUUUGCAAAAUUUUAUUACAGAAAGACUGAUAGAGGAACCCUGUUGAAGUCUAUAAAUUUGUGUGAGACUUGUGUGUUUAAAAGGCAUACAGAGAAUUCUCAUUUGAGAAUCUCUUCUGGAAAACGACGGAAUAACUGGACACCAAACAAUUUACAAACGUCUACAACUCCCUACAUCCCCCGGAGCCUUGCUGCAGUGAUGAUGAUUUCACAGACAAGGUCGGCUCCGGGCUGUGUUCUGACAGAGAGGAACGUUUUUAACCAGGUAUGUUCUGAGCUUUCCACCAAAGUAUCCCAACAGGAUAGGGGACCAAGGGUGUCUGCUUCUGUGG
This 482-nucleotide long non-coding RNA is filed under the name Suricata suricatta (meerkat). RNAcentral's name for it is "lncRNA (ENSSSUG00005018739.1)". Lineage: Eukaryota; Metazoa; Chordata; Mammalia; Carnivora; Herpestidae. The record is from RNAcentral.